This 109-nucleotide small nuclear RNA is filed under the name Rhinolophus ferrumequinum (greater horseshoe bat). RNAcentral's name for it is "U2 spliceosomal RNA (ENSRFEG00010021876.1)". The stretch from base 1 to 71 matches the Rfam family "U2 spliceosomal RNA". Rfam says of the family: U2 is a small nuclear RNA (snRNA) component of the spliceosome (involved in pre-mRNA splicing). Complementary binding between U2 snRNA (in an area lying towards the 5' end but 3' to hairpin I) and the branchpoint sequence (BPS) of the intron results the bulging out of an unpaired adenosine, on the BPS, which initiates a nucleophilic attack at the intronic 5' splice site, thus starting the first of two transesterification reactions that mediate splicing. The record is from RNAcentral. Lineage: Eukaryota; Metazoa; Chordata; Mammalia; Chiroptera; Rhinolophidae.
AUCGCUUCUCGGCCUUUUGGCUAAGAUCAAGUGUAGUAUCUGUUCUAAAGGCCAUAUAUGACAAACCCACAGCUAACAUCAUACUCAAUGGGGAAAAGCUAAAACCAUU